This 253-nucleotide ribosomal RNA is filed under the name uncultured bacterium. RNAcentral's name for it is "partial 16S ribosomal RNA". It matches the Rfam family "Bacterial small subunit ribosomal RNA", at positions 524 to 776 of the family's 1533-position model. The record is from RNAcentral.
GACGUAGGGGGCGAGCGUUGCCCGGAUUCAUUGGGCGUAAAGCGCGCGUAGGCGGUUCGGAAAGUCGGAUGUGAAAACCCGGAGCUCAACUCCGGGCCUGCAUCCGAUACUCCCGGACUAGAGGUAGGUAGGGGAGAUCGGAAUUCCUGGUGUAGCGGUGAAAUGCGCAGAUAUCAGGAGGAACACCGGUGGCGAAGGCGGAUCUCUGGGCCGAUACUGACGCUGAGGAGCGAAAGCGUGGGGAGCGAACAGG